GCGCGUAAAUUGCCCGAAUCCUGACACAGGGAGGUAGUGACAAGAAAUAACAAUACAGGGCUCUUCGAGUCUUGUAAUUGGAAUGAGUACAAUUUACAUCUCUUCACGAGGAUCAAUUGGAGGGCAAGUCUGGUGCCAGCAGCCGCGGUAAUUCCAGCUCCAAUAGCGUAUAUUAAAGUUGUUGCAGUUAAAACGCUCGUAGUCGGAUUUCGGGGUGGUCCCGCCGGUCUGCCGAUGGGUAUGCACUGGCGGGGGCGCCCUUCCUCCCGGAGACGGCUGCUACUCUUAACUGAGCGGUGGCCGGAGACGGGAUAUUUACUUUGAAAAAAUCAGAGUGUUUCAAGCAGGCAGUCGCUCUUGCAUGGAUUAGCAUGGGAUAAUGAAAUAGGACUCUGGUGCUAUUUUGUUGGUUUCGAGCACCGGAGUAAUGAUUAACAGGGACAGUCAGGGGCACUCGUAUUCC
This 463-nucleotide ribosomal RNA is filed under the name uncultured eukaryote. RNAcentral's name for it is "SSU rRNA". It matches the Rfam family "Eukaryotic small subunit ribosomal RNA", at positions 432 to 900 of the family's 1831-position model. The record is from RNAcentral.